CAAUUUAGGAUUUAACUUAAAUUCCCCUUCACCACGAGUUAAAGCACCUUAACCAGCUUCAAAAGUUGCCCCAAAUCACAGUUAUAAGGUGUGUACAUCCUGCUGUGAACAAGCACCCAAAACUGCAUUAUUACACUUAUGUAAUCACAUAAUUGAGGUUAAAAUCUCACUUAUUUAGAUUCCCUACUUGUAACUCUGCUUCUUGCUGAUUGAAAUUCAUUCAAACCAUUCACAAAGUCAAGAUAUUCAGCACAACGUGAAUCUCCAAGCUGCUGCAGCAUACACCAAAAACAGCUUCAUUCCUUCAUUAAUAAGCUUAUUGUAACAUCAACAUAAGGCAACCAAUUCACUAAUUACCUUUUCCAAGUUCCAAUUUCACUCUUCCCCUAGAUUAUGGUUGAAAGACCACAUCAAAAUCCUGCUUCUAUAGCUGAUAGAACUCUCCUGACAUAAG
RNAcentral lists this long non-coding RNA (454 nucleotides) under Ananas comosus (pineapple). Its description in RNAcentral is "long non-coding RNA (ACOM_LNC021513)". The record is from RNAcentral. Lineage: Eukaryota; Viridiplantae; Streptophyta; Magnoliopsida; Poales; Bromeliaceae.